RNAcentral lists this ribosomal RNA (338 nucleotides) under uncultured bacterium. RNAcentral describes it as "bacterial SSU rRNA". It matches the Rfam family "Bacterial small subunit ribosomal RNA", at positions 8 to 334 of the family's 1533-position model. The record is from RNAcentral.
AGGGUUUGAUUCUGGCUCAGGAUGAACGCUAGCUACAGGCUUAACACAUGCAAGUCGCGGGGCAGCAGGUACAGAAGCUUGCUUCAGUACGCUGGCGACCGGCGCACGGGUGAGUAACGCGUAUCCAACCUGGCCCAUACCACGGGACAGCCCGUCGAAAGGCGGAUUAAUACCGUAUGCAGUCAUUAGGGAGCAUUUUUUGAUGACGAAAGGAUUUGGCGGUAUGGGAUGGGGAUGCGUCUGAUUAGCUUGUUGGCGGGGUAACGGCCCACCAAGGCGACGAUCAGUAGGGGUUCUGAGAGGAAGGUCCCCCACAUUGGAACUGAGACACGGUCCAA